This is a long non-coding RNA of Biomphalaria glabrata, 1753 nucleotides long. RefSeq lists it as uncharacterized. Lineage: Eukaryota; Metazoa; Mollusca; Gastropoda; Planorbidae. The record is from RefSeq and is a predicted model, not a curated record. The transcript has 3 exons.
UCUACUGAUUUAUACUUAAUAUGUUAGAUAUUAUAUGACAUCUACAAAAAUUAUUAUUAAGAUAUAAUUAUAGAUUCUAGACUAGUUAUAUAUGUACAUAAAAUAUAUAAAUAAAAGAUACAAUUUAUGCAGGCCUAGAUCCCAUAAAUUUAUAAUUGAUCCAGAUCUAUCAGUAAAAGUUACCUUCGAUUGGCAGUUUUACCCAAUCUAAUCUAUACAAGACAAUUUAUAAUCCAUGCCUUGCCUACACCCCAUAUAUAUUAAAUAAUAGUUUCCAUUCCAUGCCAUACCCAGACCCAUGAGUUCAUGAAAUAAUAAAUGAUGUGGUGUCAAGUUGGAUCUAUCCCCUGAAAUUCAGUGCUUUAAUUUAAAACUCACAUAUCUAGUUAAUUAUUUGCUAUGACACUCUGAUAAACUUGGACUUGUGUGAUACAUAUAUGUUUCUUAUCAGAUUUAAUUAAUGAAGUUUUGGUGCAUUUUAACCAGUAAUAAGGCUACAAAAGUAGCAUCAGGUGUAUUCUAACCAUUGGUAUUUUUCCUGGCAACAUUUCUAUUCUAGUCUGUGAUAAAUUAUAAAUAAAAAAAAAUGUUUGUAAUGUUUCAGUUAUUAACAAGUAGAACCAUGGCAACCAGUUCUGAUGAUGUCCCAGAAUGGCUCAAGGAUCAUACUUAUACUAUUUCUACUCUCUGGGCAUCCAUUCAAUAUUUAAUUUAUGUUUGGAAAUGCAAGAAAAAGGCAUGCAUUCCUGAAAAGUCAAUGAUUGCACCUCUUAAAGAUAACUUUCUGUUAUGAGAAAAGAUGAGAUUCUUUGACUCCUGCAUAGCACCACCAGAAAGGAAAAUCCCAUCAUGUUGCAAAAUAAAAGUCUUGGACCAAUUUUAAUUUAAGAUAUAUAUAUUAUACUGUAAGCUGUAUACAUAUUUAUGUAUAUCCUGUCAUUCAGCCAACAGGUUUGGAUUUAGUAUUUCUUUAAAUCUGUUCGAUAUUGUACUUGAAAACUAUUAAUCUGAGCCGCAUUAAAACAAGAGGGAGUGCAGUGGAUGAGUGGUAAGGGAAAUUUUACUUUUUUAAAAUUAAAAUAAGAAUCUAACAAAAGUAAACAUAUAAAAUAUGGUGCAUUCUCCUUAAAACUAAAACCUGGUGCAAAGGUUUAAAAUGUUGGCAAAAAAAAAAGCAACAUCAAUUAAAUAUUUUUAAUUCCCUUUGCAAAACUUACUGAGAAGAACAUGCAUGUUGUUCCCUCAUAAGUUUCUUGACAGAGGAAAUCUUGUUUAUAUUAGAUUUGAAUUAAGCAAAUUAAGAAAAAAAUUAUAAUCAUUAUUUCAAAUGGUUGUAUCUAAACCUUAUGAAUUAUUUUUCAGUUAUAAGUAUAUUGAAAUGAAUGGAUAAUCAUGAAAUUGUUAAAUAAUUGCUGCUAUCAUUCCAUUGACUAAAGAACCAUAAUUUUUUUUUUUAUUAAUUUCAAAAUUAAUUAAUUAAUUUUCAAGCAGAGUUCACAUAGAUCUUGAGUGAAAUUUUUCUUUUUUUGACUAAUGCUUCAAUUUUAUUGUAUCAUUAGUUUUUUAUUUUUAUUACCCAGAAUAUUUUAAAAAUGAGUACACUAUUUUCAUGUAAUAAUGUAACUUGGUAUUCACACAUCAAAAUACGCUAUAAUCUUUAGGCCAUAUAGAUUUGUAUAAAUAUAAAUUAACUUGCUUAAAUACAUUGUAAAUGUAUAUUGUUUGGAUAAGAAUAAAGUUUUUCUGUAGACAA